RNAcentral lists this ribosomal RNA (461 nucleotides) under Meridolum gilberti. Its description in RNAcentral is "partial 12S ribosomal RNA". The record is from RNAcentral. Lineage: Eukaryota; Metazoa; Mollusca; Gastropoda; Stylommatophora; Camaenidae.
CAAACUUUAGUAAGGAGAAACACAUGGCAGGUAAACACACCAGGCAGCAUUACGAGUGGUGAAAUACAGAAAUAAAUACCUCUACCCGUGUGUAUUAUAACCGAAACACUAGUGCUAAACAGGGAUUAGAGACCCCUUUAUACAAGUGCUCGAUUUACCCUGCGGAGCACUAAAACUAUCAGAGUUAAAACUCAAACAACAUGGCGGUAACUUCAAUUUAGGGGAACUUACCAUGUAAAUGAUAACCACCAAGGUCAAAUAACUAUCAAGAAUUCUUGUAUGCCGUCGUCGUCAGGUGGCACUUAAUGUUCUACCGAAAUGUCAUCUAAAAAAAGACAGAUCAAGGUGCAGACAAUUUGAUAGUAUCGGCGAGUUACAAUUUUGAUUAUUAACAGAUAGAUUAUGUAAUUACCAAUUGAAGGCGGACUUAAUAGUAAUAAGACCAAACAUAAGCUUAUGAA